GCCCAGUUGACGAGUCCCAUGUAAGACGAAACGCGCGUCAAACUGGAC
This 48-nucleotide non-coding RNA is filed under the name Schistosoma margrebowiei. Lineage: Eukaryota; Metazoa; Platyhelminthes; Trematoda; Strigeidida; Schistosomatidae. The record is from RNAcentral.